UGGAUAUAAUGAAAUAUUAACCCAAAACCGUGUAAAGCAAUAGCAGAACUACCCAAUGAUUCAUGGGUAAACAAGGUAAAAAGAUAAACAUUCUAAGAUGACCUAUUGGGUCCCAUCAAAAUUAACCUAUGCAUUGACAAGUGAUAAUAAAGAACAUUAUUGGGUAACAAAAGUGGAUCAAGGGCACAACUUGCCUAGCACUUGAGAUUCCAGUUACUAGGGUGAUUCUUCAGAUCCUCGUGACCUCACUGCUAGUCGUAGCAAAACAAACAUGAUAUAGACAAAAUUAACAUCACACCAAACAUAAGAACAAACUGAAUAAUAAUCUACGCGUUGCUACGAGAUCGCAGGAUCGAGAACUACUGAGAUCGAAGUUACGAUUAAGGAGUUAUGAUUUUUAUAAAAGAUUUGUGUGAUUAAAAUAUUAAAGUUUAUUAUAAAUUGGUUAAUAUAAAUCAUAUGAGAGGUUAUUUUAUAAAUAAUUAUCUCAACUUUAAUCUAAGUUAUAAAUUGACCAUAGAUUGUAUUCUAGUAGAUUAUAAUGAUAAGCAGUUUAAUUAGACUAACCAACAUCAGUUAAAUACAGAUCUAAUUAUAAAAUAAUGAGACAUGGGAUAAUAAAUGUUGUUAUUGCAUAGUAAAUAUUCGUACGAGACAAACACAACUUGAACGGAUCAAAUUGGAGUUAAAACGGAGGAGUUAUGAAUUUAUAAAGUUUUAAAUGUUGGAUAAAAGAUUAAUUAGGAUAUUAAUUUUAAUGUGGCUUUCAUGUCAAAACAGUGGCACUAAUUGAUAAACAAUAAUAUUACAAAAUUAUAGGAACUGAAAUGGGUCAAUUUGGACUAAGUAUGGAUUUUCUAAGGAUUAAAUAAGUUUUCUGGAUUUAUCUUAAUACUAAAAAUCAAUUUCUGUAAUUAAUUAUCCAUUUUCAUUGUUCUCUGGACUGCGCGCUAAAUAUUGGAAAGUCCAGGGGCUCUGGCGCAAUUUGCACUAAGACUCAGGCAACAACAGGACGUACUCCGGGUUGAUUUGGUGUAACAGCGAGGGUUCUUAUGUAAAAUGGGCGCGACCGAGGGAACCACUUGAUUUGAGCCGUCAGAUCAAAAUAGACGACCCAGAUUAGAUCCCCAACGAAUGAAUCGGUACUCGACAGCAGCAGUUGGAUCUAACACCUGCGGUCUAGAUUUCAUUUCACGACGAGUUACUCUAACACCUAAUCUUGGCCGCACACAGGGAUAUCCACGGUCCACAUGCCUCCACUGAAACAUUAUCCCCUAACCCUCAUCCCCAGUUCCCCACCACUGAAACUUAUAUGAUGCUAAGUGAUGUACUAUACUACAGUGAUGCAUUUGUGAGGCUCAAGUCUAAAGAUCGCCGAAGGUAUGAAAAGAUAUUUCCUUCUGAUGAUGAAUGGACCAUGGCUACAACAAUUAGUCAGUGCUUAGAGAUAUUUUAUAACCUUACAACACUACUAUCUGGCACUUCAUAUCCCACAGCAAACUUGUUUUAUAGAGGUUUUUGUGACAUAAAGGACAUUCUUGACAAGUGGAAAUAUUCUGAUGAUGUGACUAUUAAGAUAAUGGCAUUUGCUAUGAGUGAAAAGUUUGAGAAAUAUUGGAAGAAGUCCAAUAGUGCACUUGCUGUGGCUUCAUUUCUUGAUCCUAGAUACAAGAAAAAGCUCAUAGAGUUCUAUAUGAGAAAGUUCCAUGGUGACUUAUACCAAAUUUAUGUUGAUGAGUUUGUGGCUCUUUUGAGAAAAAUGUUCCAACAUUAUGCUACCUCAGUACCUACAACAUCAACUUCAAGCAAGAGUACUGUGACUUCUAUGAGUGGUCUCACUCCUAGAGGUGGUGUCUCCAAUGCUGAACUUGAUGCCUUCUUGUAUGAUGAUCUUUGCCCAAGUACUGGUAAGUGUAAUGACUUGGAUAAGUAUAUGUUAGAACCACUUCUGAAGCAAAGUGAGUUUGAUAUUUUGUCAUGGUGGAAGAACAAAAAAGAAGAAUAUCCCAUUCUUUCUCAGACGGCUCGUGAUGUUAUGGCUAUACAAGUGUCAACUGUUGCUUCAGAAUCUGCUUUUAGUGCUGGUGGGUGGGUCAUUGAUCCAUACCGUAGUCGCCUUGAUCCUGAGAUGGUGGAAGCGUUAAUUUGCACCAAAGAUUGGAUAGCUGCAACAAACAAAGGUAACAAUUAUAGUUGCUGCUCUUCUUGAGACCAGAUAAUUCACUAAACUAGUAGUGUUGUUAAUUUGUUAUGAGACUAGCAGUCCAGCACACGAUACCUUUUUAUUUGUAAUUAUACAAGAUUUUCUUGUACUAAAAUUGUCUUGUAUUUGCAUUUCAGCUUCCACGCCUAUGCCAUCCCUUCCUAUAGACAUAGAGAUUUUAGAUGUGAUAUCUACUUCUUCGGAUGUCAUAGAAGAUAUAUCAAGUGAUCCAGACGACAUGCCACAUGAUUUCUAGUUUAUGUAUCAUGUGUUUCAGACUUAUAUAUUACAUGGUUAAAACUUCAGUGAACAUGUAUGAUCAUUUAUGUGUGGUCAAGACUCAAGACUAUGUAUUGUGUAUUUGUGUGGUUGAGACUUGUAUGUGGAUGUGAAUGAACAAUCGUGUUUUAAUACUUAUGUAUUGUGUGUUAAAAUUUGAGUGGACAUGUAUAAGUGUAUGGCCAAUUAUAUGUGGACAAGAUUAUGUUUUGUGUACUUUUGUGAAUGAGACUUGUUUGUGGUUGUGAAUGAACAAUUGUGUGGUUAGGAUUUGUUUAUUGUGAGCUUUUCCGAUUACAAUUACCGCUUCCCGAUCAAUUCCGAGCUAUUUUGCUCGGAUUUAUCUGUUUUUGAUAUACCGGAAUUUACCGGUCGUUAUCCGUUUCCGACUUUCCCGUUUACCGAUUCCGGCCGAAUAAAAAAUUAUGCGGGUGAAAACGGAGAGAGUUUUUUUCCGAUCGUUACCGACCGUUUUCACCCUUAAUCCCCACCAUUGAUCGAAGGAUCAAUGGCAACUGCUCAUCUUCUUCCCUACCAUGACACCUAACGCCGCAAUGCCCCAGCGGCCGUGGUGUGCAUCGACGUGCCCCAAAACCGGUGACCCCCACCCAAUCCGACUACUACAAUGUGUAAACGAGGGCGGAGCUCAUGGUGAGUAAGGUUAGCGGCGUCUUACCGGCUAUGGAGUCGACGACGUGGUUGACCACGUCAGAUGGCGGAUCCGUAGCCACCGCAUCAGACCGCCGAGCAAAUUCGGACAAGUCCACCCAUCACCUUGCUCCUGGGAGUUACCUCUAGGUUCGCUGCACACCACCGGUAGUCCCUCGCCCUCCUCCCGAGGCCGGACCGUCAGCCAGGGUAGGAUCCGACCGCGACGGCGACGAGCUCGACUUGCAGCUGCCCGGCGGCGAACCACGGACUCCAUAGGAAACAAACCCAAUACCCCGAUGAACUUCUACGCUCAUCAGCGAACCUCUCUGGCAGGCCCUGGCGCCGCGACCUUCGCUCCACAUGAUCCGACGAACUCCCCCUUUCUCUCUCCUCCCCUUUCUCUCUCCUCGAGUGCGGCCCUGGCGCCGCGACCUUCGCUCCACAUGAUCCGACGAACUCCCCCUUUCUCUCUCCUCGAGUGCGGCGGCGGAUCUCCCCUGUUGGUUUCCUGCGCUCACCCUCUCUCUCCAAUGGCCACGGCACACCAUGGGCGAACGCGCUGCCUUACUUCUGGUUGACCAGGGCGGUGAGUUCCAGGGCCAUGAGCGUUCC
This 3745-nucleotide long non-coding RNA is filed under the name Zea mays. RNAcentral describes it as "long non-coding RNA (ZMAY_LNC005514)". Lineage: Eukaryota; Viridiplantae; Streptophyta; Magnoliopsida; Poales; Poaceae. The record is from RNAcentral.